Molecule: unclassified non-coding RNA, 309 nt
Filed under: Hevea brasiliensis (rubber tree)
Lineage: Eukaryota; Viridiplantae; Streptophyta; Magnoliopsida; Malpighiales; Euphorbiaceae
Source: RNAcentral
GUCAUCAGAGCUUCGCCCGACAGCUUCCGUAUCGCCUGGAUCGAACGCCGCUACGAGAAUGGUCAGCUUGCCGCGACCGAGCGGUGGAGCGCCAUCGUCAGCGUUGUCGUGGAACCGCCGCGCGACAUCGAUCGGCUGCGCAAGAACCCUCUCGGCAUCUACGUCAACGCCAUCAACUGGUCCAAGGAGUUUUGACAGUGAUGCCGACAAAUCAACGUUCACUGCGAAUGAAAACGGGGAGUGGAUUUCCGGCUCUCCUGAUUUGCGCCUGUGCCCUUGCUGGGUGCACGACAUUCAAGCCGCCGCAGA